GAUGAACGCUGGCGGCGUGCCUAAUACAUGCAAGUUGAGCGAACAAGGUUGGUACUUGUACCACCUGGAUUAGCAGCGAACGGGUGAGUAACGCGUGGGGAAUCUGCCUUUGAGCGGGGGACAACAUUUGGAAACGAAUGCUAAUACCGCAUAAAAACUUUAAACACAAGUUUUAAGUUUGAAAGAUGCACUUGCAUCACUCUAAGAUGAUACCGCGUUGUAUUUACUAGGUUGUGAGGUAAAGGCUCACCAAGGCGAAGAUACAUAGCCGACCUGAGAGGGUGAUCGGCCACAUUGGGACUGAGACACGGCCCAAACUCCUACGGGAGGCAGCAGGAGGGAAUCUUCGGCAAUGGACGAAAGGCUGACCGAGCAACGCCGCGGUAGUGAAGAAGGGUUUCCGAUCGUAAAACUCUGUUGGUAGGGAAGAACGUUAGUGAGAGGGGAAAGCGCAUCAAGUGACGGUAACUACCCAGAAAGGGACGGCUAACUACGUG
RNAcentral lists this ribosomal RNA (497 nucleotides) under uncultured bacterium. RNAcentral's name for it is "partial 16S ribosomal RNA". It matches the Rfam family "Bacterial small subunit ribosomal RNA", at positions 28 to 507 of the family's 1533-position model. The record is from RNAcentral.